Molecule: ribosomal RNA, 416 nt
Filed under: Pseudomonas veronii
Lineage: Bacteria; Pseudomonadati; Pseudomonadota; Gammaproteobacteria; Pseudomonadales; Pseudomonadaceae
Description: bacterial SSU rRNA
Rfam family: Bacterial small subunit ribosomal RNA
Source: RNAcentral
GGCCUAACACAUGCAAGUCGAGCGGUAGAGAGAAGCUUGCUUCUCUUGAGAGCGGCGGACGGGUGAGUAAUGCCUAGGAAUCUGCCUGGUAGUGGGGGAUAACGUUCGGAAACGGACGCUAAUACCGCAUACGUCCUACGGGAGAAAGCAGGGGACCUUCGGGCCUUGCGCUAUCAGAUGAGCCUAGGUCGGAUUAGCUAGUUGGUGAGGUAAUGGCUCACCAAGGCGACGAUCCGUAACUGGUCUGAGAGGAUGAUCAGUCACACUGGAACUGAGACACGGUCCAGACUCCUACGGGAGGCAGCAGUGGGGAAUAUUGGACAAUGGGCGAAAGCCUGAUCCAGCCAUGCCGCGUGUGUGAAGAAGGUCUUCGGAUUGGAAAGCACUUUAAGUUGUGAGGAAGGGCAGUGACAAAU